Non-coding RNA from Musa acuminata subsp. malaccensis (wild Malaysian banana), 1613 nucleotides. The record is from RefSeq and is a predicted model, not a curated record. Lineage: Eukaryota; Viridiplantae; Streptophyta; Magnoliopsida; Zingiberales; Musaceae.
GUUGGUCCCCCUCUUCGUGAUGGAACUCCAUGAAACAUUUGAAGCACAAAGCAUUCAUCAGACAGGAGGGAGAAGCAAAAUGACUUACAGGGCCAUGAUUGCUUGGUAGAAGCAGAACUGCUAAAGCACAAAAUUUGAUAGCUAGUAAUCAAUAUUAGUUUCUAGCUCAAAACAAUGAUUGCUAGAUCAUUUGAACAAGUGAGAGUUUCAGAUGGUGCUGGAAAAGAAAGUGAAACCCCAUCAAAUGUACCAGCUAGAAGAGUCAUCACCGAAUUCUUCAUUUCCAGAAUGUACAGGUUUCUGUGCAAAAUUUAAGAGAGCAGAGAAGAUGACUGUUCUAUGGCAUGGCAAUAAAGCAAGAGAGGUAGAUAACUGGUCAACUACUGGAAUGUGGCAACCCAGUAAUAUCAAAGUCACCACCCAUUUCUUGGUAUCAACUUGAAACAACAGUCAUGGUGGAUGGGAGUGGUCUUCUUUUUUCUCCUUAUGCUGAAACAGCUUGUGCACCCAAACUAUUGAAGAACUAUGAUCAUCAUAGGUGCACUAUACAGAAAUCACACAGAAAGCAAUAUAAAGAAAAUAUGAAACAGCAUGCAGCACCACCGAAGGAACCAUCCAGUGAUUUGGCACCACAUUUUUUCAGCCACACAUUUGGCCUUUUCGGCAAUGGUUGGUCCACUUUGUAUGGCUCAGUUUGACACCACAAAAUGUGGAUAGAGAACUGCUUUUCGUGAUGGCGAAUAUCUUCUGCGACCGAGUUCUUUUGUUUCUGGAGCUUGGAAAUGACCUGAUCUAUUAAUGAAUCUUUGAAGGGGCCUUUAAGCAGAAAUAUUUAUCGGCAAGGUUAAUAGAGGUGGAGUUGGAGCCAAGCAGAAGACCUUUUUCUUUUUACCAUCAUAUCACUGAUCUUUUUGGUGGAAAUAGUCUGCAAAGUUAUCAUGAACAGUGAACCGUACCACACACCUCUAAGGCUUUUCCAGCUGCCAUUGCACAACCAUAAAAGAAGCCUUGGCCUCCCAAAGCUCGCACAAUCCUCCUCUUCAGAACAGCAGCAGCACUACCAACGAUGCUGAGGAUCCGACCCUUCCUCACCAAUAUUUUGCUAGUUCUUCUCUUGGCGACAUCUUUAGGCCAGGCUGACAUCACUGAGGAUGGAACUGAGCCAAUGAAGGCCUCAGAUCUGGUGUCCAAGGUGCAAACAAGAAAGGUUUUGGUAGAGGUUAUACUAGAUUACGACUAUGGAGGACACAACUCCAGACAUGAACCCAGGAGAGGAAAGUCAGGAAAUGGUGGUAAUCCAUAGAUGGAAGCCUCAAGCCUCUUCGCCAAAGGGCCUUAGUGGACUAGCGUCCCAUCUUGUUCAUCGAUCCGCUUAAUGUACAACUACUAGAUCUUCAAAUCCAUUAUUGUGACUUUUUUCUUUGUUAGUUUGGCUGCCCCCAGAUAUGGAGACAUGUUAACUUGUGCUUGUAAGUAGUUCUUCCAGUGAGAUGUUGUGCUUGAGAAGAACCUAAGUAUUAAUGUCAGAAACAAAAAGGAGCAAUACUCUCAUUUUCACCAUCUUAUGUGUCACUUCCUAGAGAUUAUACGGUGGUCAUCACUCAUCGGUGUUU